Oncorhynchus kisutch (coho salmon) is the source of this 706-nucleotide long non-coding RNA. RefSeq lists it as uncharacterized. The record is from RefSeq and is a predicted model, not a curated record. NCBI's taxonomy places the organism in Eukaryota, Metazoa, Chordata, Actinopteri, Salmoniformes, Salmonidae. The transcript has 2 exons.
CACUGUUAUUCUACAAUGUAGAAAAUAGUACAAAUAAAGACAAACCCCUUGAAUGAGUAGGUGUGUCUAAACUUUUGACUGGUACUGUAUUUGUAAAUGUUUUUAAUGGGUGUAUCAGCUUGAAAAUGUUUCCACAGCCGUUGUGAAGGUCACAUCCAGGAGGGCUGUGGAAUCGUUUCCACAGCCGUUGUGAAGGUCACAUCCAGGAGGGCUGUGGAAUCGUUUCCACAGCCGUUGUGAAGGUCACAUCCAGGAGGGCUGUGGAAUAGUUUCCACAGCCGUUGUGAAGGUCACAUCCAGGAGGGCUGUGGAAUUGUUUCCACAGCCGUUGUGAAGGUCACAUCCAGGAGGGCUGUGGAAUAGUUUCCACAGCCGUUGUGAAGGUCACAUCCAGGAGGGCUGUGGAAUCGUUUCCACAGCCGUUGUGAAGGUCACAUCCAGGAGGGCUGUGGAAUCGUUUCCACAGCCGUUGUGAAGGUCACAUCCAGGAGGGCUGUGGAAUCGUUUCCACAGCCGUUGUGAAGGUCACAUCCAGGAGGUCACAACCAGGAGGGGUUUGGAAACUCAUUGGUCCAAAGCUAAUAUGAUUUGCUGGAAUUUUAACACUGUGAAAACAUGUUUAACUUUGUAAUGUUUAACUUUGUAAUGUUUAACUUUGUAAUGUUUACGUGACCAAAAACGAGACUAAUAUAUGUAUUUAUCUAUU